Non-coding RNA from Gasterosteus aculeatus aculeatus (three-spined stickleback), 510 nucleotides. Lineage: Eukaryota; Metazoa; Chordata; Actinopteri; Perciformes; Gasterosteidae. The record is from the annotation of a RefSeq genome assembly.
CCGGUCAUGUGACGAGGACUCACUGGCUCCGUGUGUUUGCAUACGUGUCCUUCCUCUCUGCUCACACGCCUUAAGAGAGCUGAUCAGUGGCGGUCCAGGCCUCACGCACACUGGCACGCCGGCAGCACAAUGAUGAUGUCACUGAGUCUACUGCUGACCAGCCUGGGGCUCCUUGUUCACGGUUCAUCAGGAGAAAUCCAGCUGACUCAGUCUCCUGGAUCUCAGUCUGUUCUUCCAGGACAGACUGUCUCCAUCAGGUGUAAAGCCAGUUCUGGCAUUGGUACCUACCUUCACUGGUACCUACAGAAACCAGAAGAAUCUCCCAAACUUUUGAUUUAUUACGCUACAAGUCGUCAGUCUGGGAUCUCAGAUCGUUUCAGUGGAAGUGGAUCUGGAAGUGACUUCACUCUGACCAUCAGAGGAGUUCUGACUGAAGAUGCAGGAGAUUAUUAUUGUCAGCAAGGUUCAAGCCCCCCGUUCACACAGUGAAACAACGUCGUACAAAAACCU